AAAUUGAAGAGUUUGAUCAUGGCUCAGAUUGAACGCUGGCGGCAGGCCUAACACAUGCAAGUCGAGCGGUAACACAGAGAGCUUGCUCUCGGGUGACGAGCGGCGGACGGGUGAGUAAUGUCUGGGAAACUGCCUGAUGGAGGGGGAUAACUACUGGAAACGGUAGCUAAUACCGCAUAACGUCGCAAGACCAAAGUGGGGGACCUUCGGGCCUCAUGCCAUCAGAUGUGCCCAGAUGGGAUUAGCUAGUAGGUGGGGUAAUGGCUCACCUAGGCGACGAUCCCUAGCUGGUCUGAGAGGAUGACCAGCCACACUGGAACUGAGACACGGUCCAGACUCCUACGGGAGGCAGCAGUGGGGAAUAUUGCACAAUGGGCGCAAGCCUGAUGCAGCCAUGCCGCGUGUAUGAAGAAGGCCUUCGGGUUGUAAAGUACUUUCAGCGAGGAGGAAGGCGUUAAGGUUAAUAACCUUGAUGAUUGACGUUACUCGCAGAAGAAGCACCGGCUAACUCCGUGCCAGCAGCCGCGGUAAUACGGAGGGUGCAAGCGUUAAUCGGAAUUACUGGGCGUAAAGCGCACGCAGGCGGUCUGUCAAGUCGGAUGUGAAAUCCCCGGGCUCAACCUGGGAACUGCAUUCGAAACUGGCAGGCUAGAGUCUUGUAGAGGGGGGUAGAAUUCCAGGUGUAGCGGUGAAAUGCGUAGAGAUCUGGAGGAAUACCGGUGGCGAAGGCGGCCCCCUGGACAAAGACUGACGCUCAGGUGCGAAAGCGUGGGGAGCAAACAGGAUUAGAUACCCUGGUAGUCCACGCCGUAAACGAUGUCGACUUGGAGGUUGUGCCCUUGAGGCGUGGCUUCCGGAGCUAACGCGUUAAGUCGACCGCCUGGGGAGUACGGCCGCAAGGUUAAAACUCAAAUGAAUUGACGGGGGCCCGCACAAGCGGUGGAGCAUGUGGUUUAAUUCGAUGCAACGCGAAGAACCUUACCUACUCUUGACAUCCAGAGAACUUAGCAGAGAUGCUUUGGUGCCUUCGGGAACUCUGAGACAGGUGCUGCAUGGCUGUCGUCAGCUCGUGUUGUGAAAUGUUGGGUUAAGUCCCGCAACGAGCGCAACCCUUAUCCUUUGUUGCCAGCGAUUCGGUCGGGAACUCAAAGGAGACUGCCAGUGAUAAACUGGAGGAAGGUGGGGAUGACGUCAAGUCAUCAUGGCCCUUACGAGUAGGGCUACACACGUGCUACAAUGGCAUAUACAAAGAGAAGCGACCUCGCGAGAGCAAGCGGACCUCAUAAAGUAUGUCGUAGUCCGGAUUGGAGUCUGCAACUCGACUCCAUGAAGUCGGAAUCGCUAGUAAUCGUAGAUCAGAAUGCUACGGUGAAUACGUUCCCGGGCCUUGUACACACCGCCCGUCACACCAUGGGAGUGGGUUGCAAAAGAAGUAGGUAGCUUAACCUUCGGGAGGGCGCUUACCACUUUGUGAUUCAUGACUGGGGUGAAGUCGUAACAAGGUAACCGUAGGGGAACCUGCGGUUGGAUCACCUCCUUACCUUAAAGAA
This 1550-nucleotide ribosomal RNA is filed under the name Klebsiella aerogenes. RNAcentral describes it as "bacterial SSU rRNA". It matches the Rfam family "Bacterial small subunit ribosomal RNA". Lineage: Bacteria; Pseudomonadati; Pseudomonadota; Gammaproteobacteria; Enterobacterales; Enterobacteriaceae. The record is from RNAcentral.